UGAUGCAGCAACGCCGCGUGUGCGAUGAAGGCCUUCGGGGUCGUAAAGCACUUUUUCUGAGAGAUGAGCAAGGACAGUAUCUCAGGAAUAAGUCUCGGCUAACUACGUGCCAGCAGCCGCGGUAAAACGUAGGAGGCAAGCGUUAUCCGGAUUCACUGGGCGUAAAGCGCGUGCAGGCGGUUCGGUAAGUUGGGUAUGAAAUCUCCUGGCUUAACUAGGAGAGGUUAUCCAAUACUACCGGACUUGAGAGUGGUAGAGGAAGAUGGAAUUCCCGGUGUAGUGGUGAAAUGCGUAGAUAUCGGGAGGAACACCAGUGGCGAAAGCGAUCUUCUGGACCAUUUCUGACGCUCAGACGCGAAAAGCUAGGGUAGUAAACGGGAUUAGAGACCCCGGUAAUCCUAGCCGUAAACGAUGUAAACUUGGCGUCGGUGGCUUAAACACCAUCGGUGCCGCAGCUAACGCGAUAAGUUUACCGCCUGGGGACUACGAUCGCAAGAUUAAAACUCAAAGGAAUUGACGGGG
RNAcentral lists this ribosomal RNA (522 nucleotides) under uncultured bacterium. RNAcentral describes it as "bacterial SSU rRNA". It matches the Rfam family "Bacterial small subunit ribosomal RNA", at positions 384 to 918 of the family's 1533-position model. The record is from RNAcentral.